Molecule: ribosomal RNA, 121 nt
Filed under: uncultured archaeon
Lineage: Archaea
Description: partial 16S ribosomal RNA
Source: RNAcentral
GUUACGGAGUGCAGCAGGCGCGAAACCUCCGCAAUGUGAGAGAUCGCGACGCGCGGAUCCCAAGUGCUAUUCCUAACGGGAUGGCUUGGCCUUAGUGUAAAGAGCGGUGUAGAGAGCGGCG